Molecule: RNA transcript, 2204 nt
Organism: Prunus persica (peach)
Lineage: Eukaryota; Viridiplantae; Streptophyta; Magnoliopsida; Rosales; Rosaceae
Exons: 3
Source: RefSeq, a predicted model, not a curated record
UCUUCUUCUCAUUAUUUUCAGUUUGGGCGGGAUGGAAAUCAGAUAAUUAAAGAAAGAAAGCAAAGGAUCCGUCUUGGAAAGUUCCUUUCUUUUUCUAUGUAAACUCCUUUGUUUUCUCAAUAACCAAACAUAGGUAUUUAUGUCUCAAAGAAAAGCACUUGUUUAUUAGCUCUGAAAAUUGAGAGAGCAACAACUGGUUUAUUGGUUUGCAAAUACUCAUGGAGAUCAAUCUUCUUCUUAGUCAUGGAGAUCAAUCUUCUUCUUAGCCAUCUUUAACACCUUAGUGACGGAUCGAGGAAUCUUACCUUAUAUAGUGUAAAAGGUAGUGAAUGUGGCGACAGGAUUUUGGCGAUGACCGAGAGAUGGGGGUUAAGGGUUUUGGGGGGAGAUUGAGGGGUUUAAGGUUGAGGAGAAAUAGAAAUGGGGUUUGGAGUAGAUGGAUUUCGUGAUUUUAUCUGAUAAUCCAAUUAUGUUCCGAAUUUGUUAGUGGAACAAAUCUGAAUGUGGCUACAUCCGAUCUGAUAAUAAUCCGAUCUGUUUUGAUAUAAUAUAGUAUUUAUUUAAUUUUUGUAAUCAAAUAUAUUGAUAGAUUAAUUUGCUUACUUUUUUAUAUUUUAAAUCCAAUGUUUUAAUAGCCCAAUUGAUAUUCAAAUCCCUAAACCCAACUUUACCCCUAAGUCUAAAGCCCAACUUCGCAGCCCGAAUAAAAACCCUACCUCUCUUCCCCUAAAUCCUAUCAUUCUCCUCUCACUUCGGCCGCCUCCAUCUAAACUUCUCUCUCUCUCAACGUUCCUCUUCUUCAUGGCUAGCUCUUUCUUCUCUGUCUAUCUUUUUCUUGACAGAGUUUGAAAUGAAAAGUAAGAGUGAAGGAACACAAGAAGCGUGCUCUUCUUCUUCUUCUUCCUCAGGUGCGCAGCGCUUCUUGAGUUUCAGGGAUGAGGUCGUACAACUAUAAUGUCUAUGACGAGCCCAUAAAGGUAGUGGUCACUCAAAACUUGAUCAUAACCAUAUCCAUAGCUAGCCAGCCAAGCUAGCCUAUCAGUUUUUUUUUUUUUUUGGGUUGCAUAUAUUUCUUGAUUGGUAUCUUUAAUUUUUAAUUGAAUUUUUAAUUAGCUAGUCUCUUUUCUUAGGCUACUUCAGAAUCAGCAGAGUGGAUAUUUUUAGCCACUAAUCUUGGCCUAGAGAUGUUGUCAGCUGCUUGUGAUCAGGUUCCUCCCCAAGAAAACCCCAUUAUGCACUAUCUGGUAUGCUGUUGGCUAUUGCAGCUGUGCUCAUUUCCAUCUGGGAGCUUACAGCAUACCAAAUAGUGCAUAGUGGGGUUUUUUUUGGAACUCUUCCUGACAUUUAUGGACUAGUUGCUGGCAUCUCACAUUGCAUUUGCUGUAUAGUUCAGUAUGUUUACUGCCUUCGGCAUGGUAAUAAUCCUUUCAAAGCAUCCCUUUUGCCUGCCAUAUUUCUUCUCUGUUUAGGUGGUUCAAAACUAAGUAAUAACCGAAGGAACGCCAAUACCACUGAUAACAUCUUGAGAAAGCCUUUGGAUGGUAAUUCCUCUACCUCUAUCUCUACAAUUACUAGCACUUCACGUUCAAGCCCGCUAUUUCAGGCUCAACGGGGUCUUCUUCGAUCCAGGUGGAAAGCCCCUCGGAUGCGCUGGACUACCACUCUACACACUCGCUUUGUUCAUGCUGUUAACCUUUUGGGUGGCCAUGAAAGUGAGAACUAGUCCUUGCUUUCUUCUUUAAUUAUCCUUUGUUUAUACGUUGUCUUCAACAACUUACAGGGGCUACACCAGAGUCAGUUCUUGAGCUUAUGGAUGUCAAAAUCUCACCUUGGCCAUGUCAGAUCUCAUUUACAGGUUGAGGGCAACAUGGUUACCGGUGAGGGGGUGGUGGUGGGAGGCUGGGAGGUGCUGGCUGACGAUGGGCACGUCGGUGGUGGCUGGGAUGAGGUGAUGGCUGAGCAGCAGCAGCUGAGUGUAGCAACUGCUGAUGCAUUGGGCAGUGGCGGCUGGCUUGAAGGCGGAUUGACGGAGGUGGACAUGUGGCUUGACUUCGAAGUAGUGGCAUUGUGUGUAAUUUUGAUAUUUUUUAAUUACAUUAUUGUAAAAUUAAGUACCACUUUUUGGUUAUUGGCUUUAUGCUAAUUAGGUAAAAUUGAAGAAAUCAGAAGAAAAACAAGAUUCGGAGCUUUGAUUUUCUCUGUUA